This 403-nucleotide ribosomal RNA is filed under the name Verrucomicrobiota bacterium. RNAcentral describes it as "Verrucomicrobia bacterium partial 16S ribosomal RNA". It matches the Rfam family "Bacterial small subunit ribosomal RNA", at positions 355 to 776 of the family's 1533-position model. The record is from RNAcentral. Lineage: Bacteria; Pseudomonadati; Verrucomicrobiota.
UGGGGAAUAUUGCACAAUGGGGGAAACCCUGAUGCAGCGACGCCGCGUGAGCGAAGAAGGCUUUCGAGUCGUAAAGCUCUGUCCUAUGAGAAGAUAAUGACGGUAUCAUAGGAGGAAGCCCUGGCUAAAUACGUGCCAGCAGCCGCGGUAAUACGUAUGGGGCGAGCGUUGUCCGGAAUUAUUGGGCGUAAAGGGUACGUAGGUGGUUUUUUAAGUCAGGUGUCAAAGCGUGGAGCUUAACUCCAUUAAGCACUUGAAACUGAAAGACUUGAGUGAAGGAGAGGAAAGUGGAAUUCCUAGUGUAGCGGUGAAAUGCGUAGAUAUUAGGAGGAAUACCGGUGGCGAAGGCGACUUUCUGGCCAUAAUCUGACGCUGAGGUACGAAAGCGUGGGUAGCAAACAGG